Molecule: ribosomal RNA, 253 nt
Filed under: uncultured bacterium
Lineage: Bacteria
Description: partial 16S ribosomal RNA
Rfam family: Bacterial small subunit ribosomal RNA
Source: RNAcentral
UACGUAGGGUGCGAGCGUUGUUCGGAUUCACUGGGCGUAAAGGGUGCGUAGGUGGUAGGAUAAGUCGGAUGUGAAAUCCCCGGGCUUAACUCGGGAAAUGCAUUGGAAACUGUCCUGCUUGAGGUUCGGAGGGGGGACUGGAAUUCUCGGUGUAGUAGUGAAAUGCGUAGAUAUCGAGAGGAACACCAGUGGCGAAGGCGGCCACCUGGGCCAACACUGACACUGAGGCACGAAAGCGUGGGGAGCAAAAGGG